CAUGUUUUUGUUAGAGUAGCGUAGUUGAAUUAAACAAUUAAAGACUGAUUGAUUGAUUGAUUAAUUAAACAGAGUAUAAGUAUAGAUGACAGUAAACAAUUGAAGAGAAACUUUUACAGAGUCUGAAUCUUGGCUAUGGAACGAAAAUGGUGGUAUGUACGUACCUGACUAUGACUUGAGGCCUCAAAUGAUGAAUUGAUCAUCUAUCUUGAUGAAAGGAAUGUGAGCUAUCUUGCUCCACUCUUGUCCCGUCUUCUUCUGACACCUCUUCUCCAGGGAAGAACACUUUUCGAUGCUCAGAAAAGAGAGCGAUGCCGGCAAACCCUCUUUUGGCAGGAAUUCGAGACUAUCACACACCCUAAUUUCGAGCUCUUGAAGAGAAGUGAGGUGUUGAAGUCCCUUUCCCUCCAAAGAUUUCAGACUUUCCAUUCCAGAGAUUACGAGAGAGUGAAGAGUGGUAGGUAGCAGCUGUUCCUUGAGCACCGUCUCCAACAGAUCCUCGCUGCUCCAGAUCUCAAAUGUUCGAAGGGAGACAAGUCGUUGCAAACCCCAGUACUCCACCGAAGGCCUCAGUUUCUCACAACCACUGAUUGCAAAUGAUUGUAGGUUGGGAGGCAAACCCCCUUCUGCAAAUGACUCAACAUUUGGAAGUCCGUAUAUCCGCAAACGUCGAAGGGCGGUGAGGGUGUGUAUUCGGUCGGGCAAUAACUUCAACUUCUCGCAUCCAUCGACUAUAAAUCCAGCCAGUUUGGGAGUGCGCAAUCCCCCGUGGGGAAAAGAGACCAGAUUUGGACAGUCAAAGAUACCCAGAUGGUCGAGAUGAGUGAGAUUUUCAUCAUCAGCUCCUUCUCCAAUGGCAAGGGAUUCUAGAUUUUUAUUGUCCAAGAUCUGAAGUACCGAAAGUUUGGGGAAAACGCCCAGCGGGAAGGACCUCAGUGAAUCACAGCUGUUGACCAAAUUCAAAAGUUGAAGGGAGGUCAAUUUGGCCAUCAUCUCAUGAGAUAGGAAUUCUAAUCUCCUGCAAUUUUCUAUAUGAAGAAAUGUCAACGAAGUGGGUAGACCAUUUCUAGGGAACGACAAGAGUGAUGCGCAGUUAUACAGAGUCAAAUCUUUAAGACAAUUGCUCAAGUGCGGCCGCAAGCAUUCUCCGCGACUAAAAAAUUGAAUCUCAAGUUUGGAAAGCGAGGAAAGCGACUCCUUCUCCAGUAACGACGACAGACCAGGGCAUCUAACUAUCUUCAGUUGUUCAAGAGAUUGUCGCAAGGACUCCGUGUUGACGAUGAGAGACCAAGGUAUCCAUCUUGUUCUGGUAGCCCUUUCAUGUAGAACCCCGCAGUCUGACACCCAAAGCUGUCUCAAUGAAGGAAGAUGAUCGGGCAAGUUUCCCCUCAGCUUCGGACAAUUCUCUAAACUCAGCUCCUCGAGACGAGGAAAGUCUAGAGAUUGACCUCUGCCUGGACAUGGUAGCCAUUCCGCCCACUCCGGCAUCUCUUUGAACUUUAGCUUCUUGAGAGAUUGAAAUGGUUGACUUAGAGAAGCUCCAUUACCCCCGUAGAACUCAACACCAAUGCUCACAACAAAUUUCAUCCUUUCUAUAUAGAGCUCUUCGAGAGCGGGUACCGCCCAACUGGUGGCAAUGACAGGCAGGUACUACAUUCGCUGAGACGCAUGACUUGUAUGUUGGAGAAGGAGGAGUCCCCCAACCAAUCCGGAAAGCUGGUUCCACCAUAAAAUCUGAUGGUGAGCUUCACCAGAUUUACGGAAGGUUGUAGGCUUUCAAGUACAUGUCUCUCUUUUACGGAAUCAUUUGCAUCCUCACGACCCCAUGCCAACUCUACUUCGUUGAGAUCUUUCUUAUCCUUCAAAUUGGCCCCCAAAGCAUCCAUAUGAUUGACGACAUUUUGCAGAUUCAAGAUAGAUAGUUUUCCUCGAAGGUUCGACAAUUGCCCCAGUUCACCAAUGCCACCCGACCUAGUAGAUUCCCCCAACACAAAAGCAGUCAAUGUUCUCAAACUUUUUAGUCUACACAUUUGCACCGGCAUCUCUUUUAUACAAGUUCCACUGAUAUCAAGAUGACGCAAAUUAAUCAAUUUCCUUAUGUCUGCAGGCAAUUCAACAAGAGAGGAACAACCGACCAACAAUAGAGUUUGCAAAUUGUAGAGAGUACACAUCAUACCUGGUAACUUUUUAACUGCAGUGUGAGAGAGAUCAACGUAGCGCAAGUUUAAGUGUUUACCAAUGUUAUCAGGUAAUUGCGUGAUAUUUUUAUAUCUUGACAGUGACAACACCCGUAAACAUUUUACUGAUGGUAACAAAUCGUCUAAAACCUUUAUGCUUACAUAUAGGCUCUUAUCCCACUUUCUGUAUGGUCUUAAAGACAUAGGAAAUAAGGUUCGCAAACACUUAAUUUCAUCCAAUGACUUAAAUUUUGCGGCAGUAUCAAAUCUUCCUCUCAUAUAUGACAAAUGCCUUACUCUUUUAGGAACUUCGUGCGACUCUCCCUCCUCCAACCUAAAACAAAAUUCUCCAGACACAAACAUAGCCAAAUCGUUAAUGAGAUCAUGCAUUGUGAAACUUGAUGAUUCCUUAAUUAAUGAUCUUUGAAGUAGUGAUCGUGACAAUAGUUCAUCAAAGUAUCUCUCACCAAGCUCUUCCAAUCCUUUACAACUCUCAACUUGUGGAAUUAAACCCACUGCCAUCCAAAGUAGAAUUAUAUAUUCCUUUUCAAAUUCGUAGUCCUUUGGGAAAAUUGAGAGAUAAGCAAAGCAUUGUUUUAAAUAAGUAGGGAGAUAAUGGUAACUCAAUCUUAAAGAUGGAAGAACACUUUUAUCAGUAUGCAAUAUCUCCCAAAGAUUGUUGUUCAAUAUGUGACUCCAUUCCUUGUAACCUACAUUACAACCUAAGAGACCCCCAAGUGCUUUUGCAGCUAAAGGAAGACCAUUGCACUUGCGUGCAAUUUGCCUACCAAUUUCUUCCAAGUCUGGAUGCACACUAGGAUUUUCAUUUCUAAAUGCAUGUUUUGCAAGUAACAACCAACAAUCUUCAUGCGACAAUUGUUCCAAAGAGUAAAUGGGAACGUGUGCACAAUGGAUGCAACACUUUUGUUCCUUGUUGUCACGACGGCCUUGCUUCCCCUCGCCCCAUAAGUAAAAGGAGUCCUUACAAUAUCCCAAUCACUAUAGUCGUCAUUCCAAAGGUCAUCCAACACAAAUAGGAACUUUUUCCCCCUCACUUGUUCCCUAAGUUUAACUUGAAGCAAACUCAUAUCUUGAAGACUGCAAGGUUUUGAGGUAAUUGAUUCAAUAAGGGUUUUAGUUACCCUAAUAGCAUCAAAAUCUUCGGAAACACAAGCCCAAGCUGUAACAUCAAAAUGCUUGUAAUGGAUGAGUUAACAGGACAUAUUCAAGAUGAUAUUCCUUGGUGUAUGCUUUUCGCAGACGAUAUAGUGUUGAUAGAUGAAACUCAGGAAGGGGUAAAUGCAAAGCUUAACCUUUGGAGAGAAGUGUUGGAAUCUAAAGGUCUUCGCCUAAGCCGAUCAAAGACAGAAUAUAUAGAGUGCAAGUUCAGUGCAAAUGGAGGCCAAAACGAGUUAGGGGUGAGGAUCGGAGAUCAAGAAAUACCAAAGAGCGACCGUUUUCGUUACCUAGGAUCUAUCUUGCAAAAGAACGGAGAAUUAGAUGGAGAUCUCAACCAUAGAAUACAAGCUGGAUGGAUGAAGUGGAAGAGUGCAUCCGGCGUGUUGUGUGACCGCCGUAUGCCACUGAAGCUCAAGGGAAAAUUUUAUAGGACGGCAAUAAGGCCGGCGAUGCUGUAUGGCACAGAAUGUUGGGCGGUGAAACAUCAACACGUACACAAAAUGGGUGUAGCGGAGAUGAGGAUGCUUCGUUGGAUGUGUGGGCACACGAGAAAGGAUAAGAUUAGGAAUGAGGAUAUCCGGGGUAAAGUAGGAGUAGCCGAAAUUGAAGGAAAGAUGAGAGAAAAUCGGUUACGGUGGUUUGGACAUGUGCAAAGAAGGCCUACUGACGCUCCGAUUAGAAGAUGCGACUAUGGGACAGAGGUUUAGGGCCGAAUGGGUAGAGGAAGACCUAGGAAAACUUUGGAAGAGACUCUAAGAAAAGACUUAGAGUACUUGGAUCUAACGAAGGACAUGACACAGGAUCGAGCACAAUGGCGUUCUAAGAUUCAUAUAGCCGAUCCCACUCAGUGACUUGGAUUUUCCAAGUCUCCAACCGAGAAGUUUUCCUCACUCGGGAAAUUAAGGGAACACUACCCCAACCUACAUGCUCCACUCAGAAAGCUUCAACUUACAAGCUUCAACAAAAGAAAAUUCAAAGAACUUAGCGAAGAAGGCUUUGGUGUAUUUAACACAAUACGUUGAAAUGAAGGAAAGCUUAUUUAUUGAUAUCCCCGAUAAGCUACAAAUAUGUACAUAUACAUGAGUCAAAAUAAACACACAAGAGGGAGCCUUCACAAAGGUUGCUUAGGAGAAGUCUCAGCAGUCGGUAGAGCCCUAGAAAGAGAAGGCACCGGAGGGGGAUCAUUUGGAGCCUCAGUACUGGACAGAACCCUAGAAGGAGGAGGCAUCAGAGGUUGAUCAUUUGGAGCUUCAUUACGCGGUACAGCCCCAGAAGACGAAGGCAAUAAAUGCCUUUGGAACAAACCCACAAAUCUCUGAUGAUCAAGUAAAACCUGACCAUCAGUUUCCUUCAUCUGGUCAAGCUUCCUCUUCAUGUUUGUAGCAUAGUCAUGUGCGAGCCGGUGCAACUGUUUAUUCUCAUGCUUGAGCCCCCUAAUCUCCUGUUUGAGACUCAUCACUUCAGCCGCCAAUGAUUCAACUUGGCGGGUUCGAGCAAAUAGGCGUUGGGCCAUAUUAGACACAGAACCUGCACACUGAACACUGAGAGCCAGCGAAUCCUUAACAGCUAACUCAUCAGACCGUUUGGAAAGUAGUCUGUUAUCUUUGGGAGUGAGAAGGUUCCUGGCCACCACCGCAGCGGUCAUAUCAUUCUUCAUCACGGAAUCCCCAACGGUAAGAGGACCAGUAGGGGAGACGAAGGAUGGGCGCCAUAUGUUGUCUGGAGAAGGCGGGGCUGCCUCUUCAACAAGGUUCAAGUCAAAACGACGGUCGGAGGGGCCAGACAUUUUCAAAGGUGUUGAAGAGAGAAGAGGUCGGACAAAUCAAGAUCUUAGAAGUGCAAGAAUGAAGCUUCUACUGGUGGAGAUUCAAGUGUGCUUUGGAACUUAAUGCCAGCCCCUAUAAAAAUCUGCACUCGACGGAGCUUCAGAAAUCAAAGAGGCGCCUGCUCAGAAAUCGAAGAGGCGUUUGCUUUCUCAAAAGCUGGGCUGCUUAGAGAUCACGAGGGUUGAUCUCAGAAAUCGAAGAGGCGUUUGCUUUCUCAAAAGUUGGGCUGCUCAAAGACCAUGAAGGCCGAUCUCAGAAAUCGAAGAGGCGCUCGCUUUCUCAAAAGCUGGGCUACCCAGAGACCACGAGGGCCGAUCUCAGAAAUCGAAGAGGCACCUACUUUUUCAGCCUUGUCAGCACCUGUCACACGCACACUCAGCUUUGCGGAAAUUAUAGGCAUUCUGUCAAAGACUUCUGGGGAAGUAGAAAACACAUGAAUCUUACUGUUCAAUCACCCACUUCCCACACGCAACAAUAGCUCAUGGGUACCACAGAUAACUUUGCCAAAGUUCUCUGCCAAAGUUGAGCACGUGAAGCUUGCAGCUCCCACUACAUCGCUCUGACCAAGAAGGGUAAAAGAAUAGCAAUUUUAACACUCCCAACAAGAUUGCUUGCUCCAAAAUCGAAGAGGCACCGCCCUCCGAAUCUCGAGAGCCAGACUCCCAACAUGAUUACUUUCUCAAAAAUCGAAGAGACACUGCUCCUCGAAUCUCGAGAGCCAGACCCCCAGCAUGAUUACUUUCUCAAAAAUCGAAGAGGCAUCGUUCUCCGAAUCAAUCGAAGAGGCGCUCGCUUUCUCAAAAGCUGGGCUGCUCAGAGACCACGAGGGCUGAUCUCAGAAAUCGAAGAGGCACCUACUUUUCUAGCCUUGUCAGCACCUGUCACACGCACACUCAGCUUUGCAGAAAUUAUGGGCAUUCUGUCGAAGACUUCUGGUGAAGUAGAAAGCACAUGAAUCUUACUGUUCAAUCACCCACUUCCCACACGCAACAAUAGCUCAUGGGUACCACAGAUAACUUUGCCAAAGUUCUCUGCCAAAGUUGAGCACGUGAAACUUGCAGCUCCCACUACAUUGCUCUGACCAAGAAAGGUAAAAGAAUAGCAAAGAAACAGCACUAACAAAGUUUAGACACAUAAAUUUUGAAGGUCUAGCUACCAUAUUAUUACCCACAAGGGUAAAGGAACAGUACCACUGCUGGAUAAUUGAAAAGUCCCUGUGUGUCAACCUCUGUGCUUCGUGGCAAGGUAGACUAGCAAACAUGCCCAACCUUUACUCACAUUCGAGAAAACACUCCCAACAAGAUUGCUUGCUCCAAAAUCGAAGAGGCACCGUCAUCCGAAUCUCGAGAGCCAGACUCCCAACAUGACUACUUUCUCAAAAUCGAAGAGAGGGUAAAGGAACAGUACCAUUGCUGGAUAAUUGGAAAGUCCCUGUGUGUCAACCUUUGUGCUUCGUGGCAAGGUAGACUAGCAAACAUGCCCAACCUUUACUCACAUUCGAGACAACACUCCCAACAAGAUUGCUUGCUCCAAAAUCGAAGAGGCACCGCCCUCCGAAUCUCGAGAGCCAGACUCCCAACAUGAUUACUUCCUCAAAAAUCGAAGAGACACUGCUCUCCGAAUCUCGAGAGUCAGACCCCCAGCAUGAUUGCUUUCUCAAAAAUCGAAGAGGCAUCGUUCUCCGAAUCUCGAGAGCCAGAUACCACAGACCACUUUUUCAAAGUGCUCUGACAGAGUUAAAACAUGUGAAACUGACAGCUCCCACUACCGUGCUAUGACCAAGCAGGGUAAAGGAAUAGCAUUACUACUUGUUGUUAGGGAGACUCCUAUAUAUGUCGACCUCCAUCCCCAACGGACAGGCAGACCUGCAAAAAUGCUCAACCCUUCAUCAUAUCUGAGAGGGCACUCCCAACGAAGCCUUUCGAAAUAUUCAGCUUUCUUUCCCCCCGAUAAUACCUCUGCAAACAAGCUAUACUAGAGCAAGAAUAUCUCAUAUCAUCAGGGUUAAAAGCAAGAGUAUCCCAUAUCAUGCUUUUUCCCUGUCUUUUCUUUUGGCCUUGUUUUUACCUGCAAGACAAGGAGAAAGAGAGCAAUCAGUCAGCACUUGGAAUCAAGCUUCCAGCUAGGAACUGACUGCCUGGAACCCCUUACCUGAUUACUUACCUGGCAUUGCUCGAGUACUCAUCUUCAACAUCUUAUGUUUCCAGGGAAGAUUCCGCAUCUGCUUGAGGAACAGAUAGAGCAAGUGCAAAGGAUACAAGGAAGCAUGUGGAGACAAGCGUAACAGCACACGUGCCGAUACAUCCAUUACUCUGUCAAAAGCAAAAGUAUCCCAUAUCAGCAGGGUGGAACGUACUCUAGAUUUGAUGGACUUGUUUUGACCCUCAAAUUCUUCAGUCGGCCUUAUACUCUGGAGGAAACCAGAAAACCCUCCAGCUCAGUUCAAGAAUAAGCCUGUGGAAAGUUACUUCUUCAAAAGCAAAAGUAUCUCAUAUCAUCUCUUCUCAUUUUUCUUCUCUUUAUCCUUCAUGCUGCUGCAAGAUGGGGAGAAGGUGAACAAUCAGUCGGAGCUCUGAUUGCUUACCUUGUCUGUCACCUCUUUCAGCAGACCCCCCUAGCUCGGCGACUUGGGGGACUCCUACUACAUGGUUUGUAUCGCGCUUGACCAAGCCUGAAACUACAAGUAAGCUUCAAGUGAAAUUGAUACAUUACCUUGUGCAUCUCCACCAGUUAAAGAUACCACCCCUGGAUGGAGGAAGAGUACUUCCAGAGAAGAUGCCACAUCUACCUAUGAGACGGAUAAGGCAAGUCAAGACGACACCACACUCCGAUACUUAGAAGUUUCGUGAUUACGAGAUCAUUCUCCCACAAUAUUUCCUAAUGUCAUUUGUACUAAAUCAUUCACUUGUACUCACUAAAGGAGAGCUUGAACCUAUGUACUUGUGUAAACCCUUCACAAUUAAUGAGAACUCUUCUAUUCCGUGGACUUAGCCAAUCUGGGUGAACCACGUACAUCUUGUGUUUGCUUUCCUAUCUCUAUCCAUUUAUAUACUUAUCCACACUAAUGAUCGGAGCAAUCUAGCGAAGAUCACAAAAAGCGACCGUUUUCGCUACCUAGGAUCUAUCUUGCAAGAGAACGGAGAAUUAGAUGGAGAUCUCAACCAUAGAAUACGAGCUGGAUGGAAAGAGUGCAUCCGGCGUGUUGUGUGACCGUCGUAGGCCACUGAAGCUCAAGGGAAAAUUUUAUAGGACGGCAAUAAGGCCAGCGAUGUUGUAUGGCACAGAAUGUUGGGUGGUGAAGCAUCAACACGUACACAAAAUGGGUGUAGCGGAGAUGAGGAUGCUUCGUGGGAUGUGUGGGCACACGAGAAAGGAUAAGAUUGGGAAUGAGGAUAUCCGAGGUAAAGUAGGAGUAGCCGAAAUUGUAGGAAAGAUGAGAGAAAAUCGGCUCCGGUGAUUUGGACAUGUGCAAAGAAGGCCGACUGACGCUCUGGUUCGAAGAUGUGACUACGGGACAGAGGUUCAGGGCCGAAGGGGUAGAGGAAGACCUAGGAAAACUUUGGAAGAGACUCUAAGAAAAGACUUAGAGUACUUGGAUCUAACGGAGGACAUGACACAAAACCGAGCGCAAUGGCGUUCUAGGAUUCAUAUAACCGACCCCACUUAGUGGGAAAAGGCUUUGUUGUUGUUGUUGUUGUUGUUGUUGUUGUUGUUGUUGUUGUAUCAUUGUAAAGGAGCUGGGCAAGGGUUGUCUUACCAACUCCCCCCAUCCCAACUAUGGCGAGUACGGAUACGUUAUUGCUACUAAUUGUAUCAUCAGAUAGCAACAACCUUGUCAACUUUUCUUUAUCCCCGUCCCUACCACAAGGACUAAAUUCAUGCUCAACAAGGGAAGUUGUGAGUUUUCUUUGAGAAACAUUCUCCUUAACACCUCCUACAAGACCAAGGAGAUCUUUUUGUUUGGCAAGAUGUUCUAACCUUUGGAAUAACUCUUGUAUCCUACCAUUCAUGCCUUGACAAAAAGGACUAAAAGAAGUAGAGAGGAAGUUCCACACCUGGGACGUCUUUUUGGUUUGAUAUUCAUCAGCUUCCACCUUGCUUCGCAAAACUUCAGUAUCGAUCUCAGCCAGAAGGUCCUCGGCAUCGAAGACGGCAUGUUUGAGCUCGUCGAGCCACUUUCUCACACGAGGUUUCUCAAUUUGCUUCUCCUCUGCAUCAUCGAGCACUGCAUCGAGGGUCAGAAAAGUCAGCUUCAGUUUCUCCAAGAGUGAAUGGUCAAGCUUUUUUCCCCGUAAGAAGUCCAUGAACUCCCCAGAAGCAAUCUUGUCGCACAGCGUCUGAAUGGAAGCGGAGAGAAAAGCCUCUCCAAUCAAAGCUCCUGCCAUUUCUCUCUCUCUUUCUCUCUGUUUUUUUUUUUUUAUCUUCAAAGAAGUGUUGAGGUGAGGAAGAAGAAGAGUCUUAUUAGCUUAAUUUCGUUUCGGAAAGAGACCCCACACGUUAAUCAAAGAGUCUUAUUACCUAUAAUUUAAGUGACAAUUUCCUAGUAGUUGGUUUGGUUGGUGUGAGAGUGCGGGUUGGGUGGCUAUUUUUUAGUUAUUAACCAUAACAUCACUUUUGUUUGUUGAUAAUUUGAUAUUAAGCCGCGUUGGAAUUUUGCUUUUGGGCGGAUACAACACAGGAUCUUUAAAUUGAUCACCUAAUUAAUUAAAAUUAAAAUUGUAAUCUUUUGUUUAUUAUGUUAUCAUGUCAUCAUGCAUGUGAAAAGAAGUCACACUGACCUGGUUAAUUAAUAUAUUGGAGUUAUAUUACAAGUUGUUAAACUCAAAAAUAGAUGGGAUCUCUUUUUUUUCAUCCCUUGCCAGGUCUUAUAAUUGGCUUGUAAAAUAGGAGAGCUUCAACUCGAGUCCAAGCAGGCAACAAUACAAAGCCUUUCAUCAAAAUUUUGUCAUCCAAGUGCACCUAGCAAUCCCUUCUUCUAGUUGUCCACCCAUUUUUCGAUUGGUUACCAAUUUCUUCUUUUGCAGUAUGUCGAGAUUAAAAUGAAUAAAAGUGAAUUAAAUUAGUAUCAUGCAUCGUACAAAGACAUACUUAGAACGAUAAUUACAAUAAAGGAUGUUAUCAGUACUUUGCUUCAACAUCAAACACCAAAUAUAUUGUUGGAAACAAAUAGCAAGAUAAUGCAUUUACAGAUAAUAUUUUUUUAGAGUUUAUUGCCUUCAUCGUGAGAUGAUGACCGCGAUUUCUAUUAAUUUUGAGCAAUAUAGAUAUUAUGAAUAUCUGAUGAAUGAAAAAAAUGGAAUGCCAAAAACAGCAAUGUACUGAGACUUAUAAAACACCAAAGUUUUAAACAUGAAGAUUAAAAAGAUACUUAUGACAAAAAGAAUUUUUGGCAUUUUAGCUAAAAUGAUCUCUAAGAUUGAUAUAACUCAUCACUUUUGGUCUCCGAGAUUUGAAAUUAAUAGAGGUGAUCCUUAAGUUUGACUAUCAUCAAUCAUUUUGUUCAUUCUGUAAAAAAAAAUGUUACAUAAGGACCAAAAUGACAAAAAAAACCCUUAAUUUAAUAAAAUAUGGCCCAAAAUGAUUUUGACAAAAUUAAGAUCAUUUUUAUCAUUUUAUCCUUAUUUAACAGAGAUUUUUCGCAUAAUAGUCAAAAUGGUUUAUGGUGGAUAAACUCAGCUCAAGGACCAAUUUUAUUAAUUUUAAAUCUCAAAACUAAAUUGAAAAGUUAUAACAAUCUCAGCUUCAACUUCUCCAUGAGUGAAUGGUAAGUUUUUCCCGCCGGAACAAGUCCAUAAACUCGUCAGAAGCAAUCUUGUCGCACAACCUCUGGAUGGAAGAGGAGAGAAAAACCUCUCCAAUCAAAGCUCUUGCCAUUUUCUCCCCCUCUCUUUUUUUUUUUUUUUUUUUUCGGUCCUUCAAAGAAAGUGUUGAGGUGAGGAGGUGAGGAAGAACAAGAGACGACUUGAUACACUUUUGGUCAAUAAUUGAGUGGACCCCACACGUUAAUCAUAGAGUCUACUUUUUUUUUAAUUUUUUUUUAUAACAUAUCAGUCUUAAGAAUUUCUUAAUAGUUGGUGUGAGAGUGACAGAGUGGGUUGGGUGAAUUUCAGUGGACCUCACACGUUAAUCAUGCAUGUAAGUAGCAAUCACAUUGACUUGGUUAAUUAAUAGAUUGCAGUUGGACUAUAAAAAUAGGAACAAUUUUUCUUUGUAUCUGGAACACGAGUGGUAUAGUGUAUGUCAUUAUAUAAGUGAAUGAAAAUUUUAUUUUUUAAGUUGUUAAUAUUUUAAUAUAAGUAUCCCACAACUCGUAUAGUGACACGUGAUGUAUCACUUCGUGUUCUGAUUGCAUUGAAAAAUUCUCUUCAAAAUAGAAGGGCUCUCUAUUUUUACUCCAUUUGCUAGGAUAGAUUUUUCAUUGUGAUCAGAACACGAGUGAUAUACCAUGUGUUUUAUAUAAACGGUGAGAAAUUUUAUUUUUUAAGUUAUUAACUUUUUAACACACAUAUCCCAUCACUUAUAUAGUGACACGUGAUGUACUAACUCGUGUUCUGUCAUUAAAAAAUCUCUCCCUUGCCAAGUCUAAUCAUAUGGUCUAUGGGGAGAUCAAAGCUUCUACGCCCAAAAUGGGCGUGGUAUCUCUAUACCUCAAAUUAUUGUUUGACACACAUUAAGUCUAUGAAAACAAAGUUAAGAAUAAUUGGAGCCAAAGAGAGACUACACUCAUCUUAGAGACAGAAAAUUUGAUCACGUUCUAGAAAUGUCAAUGGGUUGUAAAAGGAGUGAUAUUCACACACUCUUUUUUACUUCUCACAUACCAUUUAUUAAUUUAUGUUAUUUAAUUUUUUUUAAUACAUUCGAUCUGACGGCCUAAAAUUAAGAAAACAUAUGAUAAGUAAAAAGAAGUGUGUAAACAAUAUAUUUCGCCGUAAAUUAGGGGAACUUUAACUCGAUUCUAAGCAGGCAACAAAACAUUGUCUUUCAUCAAAAUUUUGUCCUCGAAGUGCGCACCCUAAGCAAUCCCUUCUAUUUGUCCACCCAUGACCCAUCCUUUUCAAUUGGUUACUAAUUUCCUCUUUUGCAGCCCGUUUAGACCAAAAUGAAUCAAAGUGAAUUAAAUUAGUAUCACGCGUCAUAUAAUAUGUGUUCACGCUCAGAAUGAUAAUUACAUCGAACAAAAUAAUAUGCGUCAACUUCAAACAACAAACAUAUCAUUAAGAAUAAACAGCAAGAUCUUGCAUCUAUGAAUCCUAAUUUUUAGAGUUUACAACCUUCUUCGUGAGAUGACUCCAAGUUCUAUUAAUUUUGAGCCACAUAGAUAUUAUGAUGGAUGAAAAAAAUGAAGGCAAAAAAACAGCAAUGUUCCGUGACUUAUGAAACACCCAACUUUGAACAUGAAAAUCUGAAAGAUAUUUCUCUAAAAACAAUUUAUUUUAAAGAAAACUUAGAAGGCCUCACUAUAAACAUAAACGAUCUGGGAGGGAAUAAACAUUCGGGAAGAGGGAGAGAGUUUAGAGAUGUGGUUUUGUGGCGUUUGGUACUUGGAGUGAGACGGAACAGGUUCGUCUCACGUUUGGUGCGACAAAAAAAUGAGACGCACCUAUUCUUAGAAUGAAUUUUAGUUUAAUUUUUGUACCACGCUCCCUCAUGAAAAAUGACUUAUUUCACUCCAUGGAACGAACUUAUUUCACCCCAUGAAACACAAAAAUACCCCUGCUGUUUUUCAAUAAUUCUACUACCAAAUCAUAAAAACAAACCCUAAUCUUGUGUCUUUCUUCUUUCCUAGUAGCCUCUCUCUUUCUCUCCCCGUCUUCUCGGCGGAGAGGCUCCAUUCUCUACUUCGUUCACUACCUCUCUCUUCUCUCGUCGCAGCAUCUCAAUAUCUUCCCGCUUUGAUUUAAUUGUCAGUUUUUCUGAGUUGGUUGUGAUUUUCCUCAUUCAGUUAACCAUGGUUUUUUUAGGUGUAGAAGUGGAAACCCCUAGAAAUUUAUGGGUUUUCACUGAAAUUGAUUUUCCGUACCACAAGCUUUGUACUGUUUGGGGUUAAGGGUGUAAUUUAGAGGUAUACAUCCAUUUCUGUGUUUAAGUUUAUGCAACUAUUGGCUGAGAAAAUGAAUCGUUUCUUAAUUUUUCCUUCUUAUAAGCUAAAGAGAAUAUGGCUGCUGCGAUGAAUGUGAAAUAAUUACCCAGAAAUACAUUAUUACCCGGAAGAACCUAAUAAACUUCUUCAUUACCAACAAAUAUUAAUAUUCAUUAAGUGUCAUUGUCACAAAUAUAUCAUAAAAUAAGCAAGGAUAAGUUGGCCUUUUAAUUUUUUUGUUCUAUUCCGCGUGAACUAUCAAACGCGAAACAGAACAAUUGACUCAUUUCAGCAUGUAUGUACCAAACUAUAUUCGAACCUCUGCUCCAUCCUAUUUCUAUCCCGUCUACACAUCAAAUGCUACUUUAAUUCUUUUUAAAUUUGAAUUUUUAAUUUUUUUAAUCUUAUUUUAUUUCUGUGAUUUUAAAUGCCCAUAAACUAACUGAAUAGUGGAGCAAAAGUGGAGAGAUUUCACCUGGAAAUUGUAUUAAUGGUAUCUCAACUUUAACUCAAUUAGAGCAAUGAUCAUUCAACUAAAAAUUCCUAAUCAUUGGUCACUUUACUCAACAAAACGUGCAACUAUGGACAUUUUCAACAACUCUGUCAGAACUUUCGUCAAAAUGAGACUAAAUCAAGGGGCAAAUAUGAAAAAUCAAAUGAGAAAAAUUGCAGCAAUGAUCCCUCAACUUUAACCCAAUUAUAGCAAUGGUUCUUCCAACAUGACUUAUUUUGACGGAGUUUAUAAAAAUGAUCAUAGUUGCAUGUUUUGAUAAGUAAAAGGGACUAAUAAUUAUGAAUUUUUAGUUACGGAACUAUUCCUCCAACUGAAUUAAAGUUAUGUUACUACAAUUUCUCUUAGCAGCAAUGGGGGUAUUUAGCCAUAAAUAAAAGUAUAUAAUUAAAUUUCAAGGGAAAAUUCGACAAAUAGUUAAAACGAAACUAAAAAUCAGACUUGAAAGUAUAACUUCAAACACAUUAUUUGGUUUUAACGAAAAACAAGUCUAAUUGAAGCAACAGAAAUGUGUCCCGCCACUAAUCACCGCGCCUUCUCUUGAAGCGCUUACUCUCUCUCUCUUUCUCUGUCUAUCUCUGAGUUGCCGUAGCAUCGACCACUCCAGAAAACCGUACGUCUCCAGGUGCCUCACUCCGCAUUCAAAGUGAAGCCUUUUUAGGGUUUCAUUUCAGCAGGGCCUCUUUGGAGUGUUGCAAUUUUCAAGCUAUAAACUUUUCCCUUAUCAUCCCACUUCCAGCAUUCUCAAAUUUGCCAUAUUUUCCUUAUCUUCAACGCCUUUGUCCUUUUCGCAGAAAGCCCGUCGCCAAUUGAUUCAAUCCGUAGCAGAUUUUGGCGCGAAGAAGCUCCAUUGAUCCCGAAUACACAAAUGUGUUGGAGCAAUGAAUAGGGCACCUCAUAUGAGGCAAGAGUAAGAGGAACAAAGAAAUAGCCUUUUUACUUUGCAUUAUACUCCCAUUGCUUCCAUUGUUAUUUAUUUGGAAUUCGGGUAUGUUCAGUCGUCCCAAUCUGGGUCAAGAUUUCUGUGCCCGGACGCCUGUUAAAGCUGAUUUGUUGGAACAUGUCAAUGCAAUUGAUAAUUUCUCGUGCCCGCAUAGUGUUCUGAGUUCAAAUUUUAUUUUCUCCUUACCAACACAAAAACCUCUGGCCGAAGAGGCAAUGGUUUCUGGGGUAUGUCGCGGUUAUACGUGUUUUGUUUCAUUUUUGUUUGUUUGUUUUUUUUUUUUUUUUUUUUUUCGUGUACUGUUAUUUUUUUUUAUCUUGAGGAUUACUUGUUAUUUGGUGACAACUUGACAUCAGUUUUUGUGUUUGGUGAUUGUGGUCUUUUGCUUGGGUAAAAUAUAGCUCUUGUGUUUGUGUUAGUUACAUGAUUUAUUGUUUGUUUCAGCUAAUUUUAAGUUUCAUCAUACCUUAGCGAUCAGGGCCGGUUCUGAGAUUUUAGGGGUAUGGGUCCUUGCAUAAAAGAAUCCCGCUAUAGUGAAGCUAAUUUAUGUGUCUAUAGUUGUAUUAAUAUGGUAUCUAAAUAGAGUAUUAUUACUCAUGAGUUAUGGUUCAAAUCAACACUAAUCAUGAAAGUAAAACGCAAUUUAGAGCUAAGCCAUCAGAACCAAACUAAGAAACAUAAAAGUGAUUCCUCUAAUACAGAUGGAGGCCAUUAUUCUCUUAUUCACAUACAAAUCCUAAAAAAUUUCCCUAAGAUGAAUUCUUUUUACGGAAACCAAGUUGGUACAUAUAUACAUAUGAUAUCAUCAUUUAGGAACCCCUUAAGAUUGGGGGCCCUGUGCAAGGGCACCUAUUGCACAUGCCCAAAGCCGCCACUGUUUGUGAUAGAUAUAUAUAAUAUAUCAUUUUAAGAAUGGAUGUGAAUUCCAUUUUUUGUUUUCCUCGAAUCAAUCAUUUCUGACUGUUGGAUACUCCUAGUUCUUGAUGGUAGACAUGGAUUUUUAUGCAACUAUCGAUACUACUACCUCAAAGCAUUUAACCUGGUAUGUAUCUUGGUUCUCUUUAUGCUUUUAGCUCAAUGGCUUGUCCAAUUCAGAAUACUGAAAUAUCUUUGAGGUUGUGAUAAAAUCUAUACCUAGUAAUAGAUGGUUAAGUGAAAACAAUAUUGGUGAAUGAAUGAAUGAAUGACAUGAUAGGCAACACCUAGUAAUGAUAACACCCGCAUUUAGUAAUCUUAGGCCUAAAAAGUUUGUCAUGUUGAGCAUGUUAUUCUUUUGACAUGAAAUGAAUGAAUGGAUACGCUCUUCAAAGGUUGUGUUUGCUCUGGCAUAAUAAAUGAGUUAUUGGUUUUGUUAUUCCACACUUAGGAAUUAAAUAGUAGUGCUACGUACUAUCCUAUGCAAGUCUUAAGAUAUUUAACUAUCAACUGUCAUAUCAAGUGGUCUACAAAAUAUUGUCUAAAAACAUAUUCUCCGUAGCAUUUUCCUUAAAAUUUUAGUUUGUCAACCAAAAAGUAAAUAAAUUUUUAGUUUUACGUGCUAGUGGAGUACACGUAGCAUGAGUAGAAGUGAAAAAGUUAAAAUAAGGUUGCUAACACUCCCCUUCAUAUUUUAGCAAAGCUCAAUAAUCAUUUCAUAUCCUCACAUAGGUUAACUGAAACAAUUAUUCUAUUCAACUUUAGGUCAAUAAUUUUUUUUCUCUAACCCAUGCUCUUCAACGUAUCUGCAGCAUCUACCUGAAGAUUAAAGUUUAAUUGAAAGAUGAGAAAAUCAUGCCGCCGUAUUCAAACAACACCAGUACGUGAAAACCAUCAUCCUCGGUUGGCGUUACCUUUUUCGAUGCAGAAGCAUUAUAUUCGUGCUGGAUAGGCAGAGCCACUGAGCGACAUUCAAGGACUACUACUUGUCGUAGUUUUGGUUCCCUCAGAUAAUCACGUCUUUACAUUUCCACUGAAUGCACAUAAAUAAGUCACUCCCAUCACAAACUGUCCAGGCCGUCCGCUUCAUCCGUUUCCUCCAUGCGUUAGUUCUCGAAGAACAGAUUCAGCUUGGGACUUUUCAAUUUUAAAAAACUAGAGUAAAAACAAACAAGAAAAAAAAAAUCAAGUGAAUUGGAAGUUCAGGAAUGAUUUAGCACCAAAAGCAAUUAAAACAUGUCUAGAGCAACAUUUUGAUCAAGUAUAUAAUAGAACAAAAGUAAGAAUUACCUCUCUAAAAGUUUUACAGAACAAAAAUUGGACAGCAUUUCCCACAUCCUCAGCAGCUAAUGGUGGCCUGGGGUAGGGGAAGCUCAAGAUCAACCUCUCUGCUCUCAACACGGAGUUCCUUGCCCCUGUGGCACCCUCUUGCAGCCUUGUCCUUGCCCUUGGAAUCAUUCUCAUUCACAGCAGCACCACCAUCUCUGCUGCAUUACAAGUUUCCAUCAACUCGUCCUGCUUUGCUGCAUCCGAGUACUUCACAUCUUCGCUCUGAUCAAGGGCUUUCUUCCCUCAUUUGCUAGGUGAAUCAACACACUUUGCCUGCCAAAACUCGAGACCAUAAGCCCUCUUAAACAGAAUUAAAACCAACCAACAACAUCAAUAUGCACCAUCUCUGCUGCCAAAAUCAACCUCUUGAGUCUCAAUAUUCCAAGGCCACUCCUAGACUUUACGAUGCUUUAUGACUGCCUUGCCAUUGACAUCCUUAUUGCUCAUAGUAGCCGCACCAUCUCUGCUGCCAUUACAAAUUUCCAUUAACUCUUACUGCUUUUGUUUUCUUAGUUUCUUCCUGAUCAGAUUCGGAGAUGCAUCCACGUUCAUAUCUUUUCUUCCAUCAAGAGACUUCUCCUUCCCUCGUUUUCUUGGUGAACCAACACCAGUUUCCUAUCAAAACUUGAGGGCAUAAAACCGCUUAAACAUCACUAAAACCUUUUUUGAAUCCAUACAUUUUUGCGGUGAACCAUCCUUGCUUCAGACAUCCAUCUCCCCUUGUUUCUUCGGCUUGUACACAGUCGAAGGGACUGUUCGUAUUUUAUUAGAUUCCAACUCCAGUCGCCUGUCACCACCACACAUAGAAAACAUACGUUUUUGUCCUGAUACGACUCAAGGGAGAGCUCAUAAGAUCCCCAGUUGUAGAGCAAAAUGCUGUAAUCUCUCAGUUCUUUUCUUUAAGGAGAGUAUGUGGACAUUCCAACAAAAUUCAUGGAGGGCAAGUGCACAGUUAAUGCAAUGAAAGAAGACAGCUUUACCUUCAGAUCGAUGCAUUCUCCCACUUCAUUUCCACAUCAAGUUGUGAAAAUCCUGUUUCUUCUCAUAUCUGUUCCGAUAGGAUGCCAACACAAGUGCUUUUCUUUUUCAUACCCCAGCUCAACAUGUAUGAAUACUGCUAAAUUCCAACAAGGGCAAGCAUGAGGGUGGUGCUCCAUAGAAACCUGGCUCUCAUUUUGUUUUGUGGUCAUCGUCACCUGUUCUCACUUCAACAGAGCUGUGUAUGUACAAAAAUAUAUCUGCACCCACCCGAAGAUGGCAGCAACAUGAAGAGAAGAUGAAAAGGAAUGCUGCUUGUUUGAAAAUAAAGCAAUAUAUGAGUAAAACAUCAUUCCUGGGGUUACCUAUCCAAUUGAAGGAGAAUCAUAUUCAUGCCACACUGCAGGACAACCAUUCAUGGACAGCUAAUUGAUGGGCGUUAAAAUCAUUGGCCUUACAUAAUCCAAUCUUUACAGUUCCACAGUUUGCUAUCUGCCUCAGCAAAGCCUAUGAACACGUUAGUGACAUAAUUUUGCCUUGAAAGCAUAGUUGAAUUUCACUGUUAACAUUUGACUAGUCUAUAAGCCUAAAUGAUUAAAGACAAAUUCUACAGAUAAGGUGCAACAUAUUUACAAAGGCAUUAGGAAUAAUGCCUUCACAAUUUUCCCUACAUUUCCCAUUUUAUCAUCCCAAUCAAACUUUGAAAAUAAAGGUCGUACCCAGUGCACAACGCACAUAAAUAAGUCACUCCCAUCACAUUCUCCUGAAAAUUUUAAGAAACAUUUUUAUUUUAAAGGAAAAAGAAAACAGAACAAGAAAGCGAUGCAGUGUGCUGGGCCGAAACAAUUCAAUAGAAAUUUCUGCAGAUACAUGUGAUAAAUUUUUCUCCUCCAAACAUUUUUCUUUUUAAAGAAAAAGAAAACAGAACAAGAAAGCAAUGCAGUAUGCUGGGCCUAAACAAUUCAAUAAAAAUUUCUGCAGAUACAUGUGACAAAUUUUUCUCCUCUGCCCUGUUCCUUUUAUUUUAGUAAUUGAACUCUGAAACUUUGAAAAGAAUUCAGCGGGAUUGUUCACUCUCUCUUUAAAUCUUAGAUAGGGGAUGAAACAGGAUACUCCUCCGCUUUACAUCAUUAAAGUUACGAACCAGCACCAUUUAUGUGUGUGUACAUAUAUACACACACAUCAAUCAUUAAAGUUAUGAACCAGCACCAUGUAUGUAUGUGUGUGUGUGUGUGUGUUGCAACAAAAAAUAUGGCGAAACAACUAAAAAUGGUUAACUAAAAAAAUGAAAGAAAAAUCUCUAUGUAGAUUUUAUGUAGAAAAGUUGAGACAAUCAAUAUAACAAAUAAAAGAUAAAGUACCUGACAUUAGAGAGUUGAGAGUGAAAUGAGAAGCAAAAGUUUUGGUGAGAGAGAGACAGAGAUCAUAUCAUGAUGACUAUGUCAUCUCUCUUUAAGCAAGGAAUAUGAGCUAUCUUUCUCCAUUCUUUUCCUUCUUGGUCUCAUACCUCUUCUUCAUAGAGGGGCAUCUGGUGAUGUUCAGGAAAGAAAUAGAUGCCGGAAAACCCUGUUUUGGCAGGAAGUCGAGACUAUCACACCUUCCAAUAUAUAGCUUUUGAAGAGAAGUGCGGUGUUGAAGUCCAUUUCUGUCCAAAGAUUUCAGACUUGAGAGAUAAGAGAUUGCAAGAGUGUGAAGAGCGGUAAGAAGCAACUGUUCCUUGAGCAACGUCUUCAACACAUCCUCGCUGCUGAAUUGAAUCUUCGAAGGGAGACAAGCCGUUGCAAACCCCAGUUCUCCACUGAAGGCCUCAAUUUCUCACAAUCUCUGUUAUGAAAUGUUUGUAGGUUGGGAGGCAAACCCCUUUCACCAAAUGACACAAGAUUUGGAAGAUCCCAGGUGCUCAAUUUUUGAAGGGUGGUGCGGGUGACAGGUGUGCAUAUGUUUGGGCAAUAACUUCAUAUUAUCGAUCCCCAGACUCCAACAUGAAAUUUUUGCUAUCGCAUCCCUUUGACGUUGGCCAAUCUUUCAUUUUGCUCCCCAAUCCAUCCCCUCGAUGUCCUGGAGGAAAGACCGAAAAGAUCUUUUAACUUGAAAUGCAGAAAACAGGACAAUUACAAAAUUAUAAUUUGCAUAAUAUUUAUCUUCUAUUUACUUUGUGUUAAGAGCCUCAUCACAGAGGAAAUUUAAAAGCUUAAGGCAUCAUAUCCAUCCUCACCUCCACUAAAACACUCUGCGGGCAGAUCCUGCAGCCUUGCAACCCUGGACGCAGAGAUCAGGUUCUCCAAAUCUUGGAACCAUGAGCAGUUGGUGCUUGCUUGCUCUAGAGGCCUUAGGAAUAAUGCCUUCACAUUUUUCCCUACUUUUCCCAUUUAUCAUCGCAAUCAAACUCUGAAAGUGGAAACAAAAUUUAGACAUGAUUUGACAAGGAAAGAUAGCAAUGUGAAAGUUUUAGUGGGAGCAGAGUAGUAAUCACUUGAGGUGUACCAAGAUGCAAAAUAAUAAGAAAAUUUAGGAACCAGUUUUCCUAAAAUAUUGAGGAAACAACUCUAGUAGAGAAAUGCAAAUUUUACUUGUGAUGGAAAAAAAAUUUACAUAUAUAUCAAAGUCCUUCACAAAAAUUGCUUGUUUCUUCUCAUCGAUAUUGAAUGCAGAUGUCAACUCAAGCGCAUUCCUUUUUCAUACCUUGUCUCAGAAAGAUACCUUAAAUUCAAAGUUGAAGAUACUAUAAAUUAAUGAGUGAUCUAAGAAAACAAGCAUAUGUCUCAGUGGAACCUAAUUAUUAGCACAGCUUCUUCAAAUUAAAUUCCAGUUUGUUACGCGUUCAAGUUUGACAAUCUGGAUCUUUUCCUUAUCUUAAGAUGAAUGUGCAUUCUACCACACUCAAAUCAUAUCAGUAUGAGAAAGGGAAAAAAAACAUCAUCCAGGGUUACCUCCUCGCCCAUGCAGGAGAAUCAUAUUCUUGACAGUGACAAAUAGCCAUGGCACGAUUCGACAACUAGUAAUUUAUGUAAGCAAACACAUGUUGCCCUUGGAUGAUAUUGUCCUGAAAUUUAAGGACCAUGCUUUUGUUAGAGUAGCGUAGUUGAAUUAAACAAUUAAAAACUGACUGACUAAUUAAUUAAACAGAGUAUAAGUAUAGAUGACAGUAAACAAUUGAAGAGAAACUUUUACAGAAUUUGAAUCUUGCCUAUGGAAUAAACAUGGCGCUAUGCACGUACCUGACUUUGACUUGAGGCCUCAAAUGAUGAAUUGAUCAUCUAUCUUGAUGAGAGGAAUGUGAGCUAUCUUGCUCCACUCUUGUCCAGUCUUCUUCUGACACCUCUUCUUCAGGGAAGAACAGUUUUGGAUGCUCAGAAAAGAGAGCGAUGCCGGCAAACCCUCUUUUGGCAGGAAUUCGAGACUACGACACCCCUUAAUUUCGAGCUCUUGAAGACAAGUGAGGUGUUGAAAUCCCUUUCCCUUCAGAGAUUUCAGACUCGUUCCACAGAUUGCGAGAGUGUGAAGAGUGUUAGGGAGCAGCUGUUCCUUGAGCACCGUCUUCAACAGAUCCUUGCGGCUUGAGAUCCGAAAUGUUCGAAGGGAGACAAGUCGUUGCAAACCCCAGUACUCCACUGAAGGCCUCAGUUUCUCACAACCACUGAUUCGAAAUAAUUGUAGGUUGGGAGGCAAACCCCCUUCUGCAAAUGACUCAACAUUUGGA
Molecule: long non-coding RNA, 21638 nt
Filed under: Malus domestica (apple)
Lineage: Eukaryota; Viridiplantae; Streptophyta; Magnoliopsida; Rosales; Rosaceae
Description: long non-coding RNA (MDOM_LNC006507)
Source: RNAcentral